Molecule: ribosomal RNA, 348 nt
Filed under: Triticum aestivum (bread wheat)
Lineage: Eukaryota; Viridiplantae; Streptophyta; Magnoliopsida; Poales; Poaceae
Description: partial small subunit ribosomal RNA
Source: RNAcentral
AUGGGGCUGUGGGGGCGACGACAACAUCGACAUCGACACGGGGCUGCGGCGGCGGUAGCGACAAUGACGACAUUGACAUCAACAUGGGGCUGUGGUGGUGGCGACGAUGACGACGACAUCAUCACGGUGCUGCAGCGGCGAGGACGACGACAUCAUCAUGAUGCUGCAGCGGCGGCGACUACGACGACAUCAACACCAUCAACACGGGCUUGUGGAGGCGCCGACGCCGACGACCUAUACGCGUGGCGUAUAUUGUGUGUGUAUAUAUAUAUAUAUAUAUAUAUAUAUAUAUAUAUAUAUAUAUAUAUCUAUGUAUGUAUGUAUGUAUGUAUUAAAUAUCUAUUUUAG